Molecule: ribosomal RNA, 525 nt
Filed under: uncultured haloarchaeon
Lineage: Archaea; Methanobacteriati; Methanobacteriota; Halobacteria; Halobacteriales; Halobacteriaceae
Description: bacterial SSU rRNA
Rfam family: Archaeal small subunit ribosomal RNA
Source: RNAcentral
AUUCCGGGUUGAUCCUGCCCAUAGCCAUUGCCAGUGGAAUCACAUUUAGCCAUGCUAGUUGUACGAGUUCAGACUCGUAGCGAAUAGCUCAGUAACACGUGGCCAAACUACCCUUCGGACCACGAUACCCUCGGGAAACUGAGGUUAAUAGUGUACCCCACACUCAGACUGGAAUGUCGAGUGUGACAAACGCUCCGGCGCCGAAGGAUGUGGCUGCGGCCGAUUAGGUAGACGGUGGGGUAACGGCCCACCGUGCCAAUAAUCGGUACGGGUCAUGAGAGUGAGAACCCGGAGACGGAAUCUGAGACAAGAUUCCGGGCCCUACGGGGCGCAGCAGGCGCGAAACCUUUACACUGCACGCCAGUGCGAUAAGGGGAUCCCAAGUGCGCAGGCAUAGAGCCUGCGCUUUUGUCCACCCUAGGGAGGUGGACGAAUAAGGGCUGGGCAAGACCGGUGCCAGCCGCCGCGGUAAUACCGGCAGCCCGAGUGAUGGCCGAUCUUAUUGGGCCUAAAGCGUCCGUAGCU